Molecule: transfer RNA, 94 nt
Filed under: Ipomoea nil (Japanese morning glory)
Lineage: Eukaryota; Viridiplantae; Streptophyta; Magnoliopsida; Solanales; Convolvulaceae
Rfam family: tRNA
About the family: Transfer RNA (tRNA) molecules are approximately 80 nucleotides in length. Their secondary structure includes four short double-helical elements and three loops (D, anti-codon, and T loops).
Source: Rfam by way of RNAcentral
CCGACCUUAGCUCAGUUGGUAGAGCGGAGGACUGUAGUUUGAGUAUAUGCGUGCUGAAAUCCUUAGGUCGCUGGUUCGAAUCCGGCAGGUCAGA